RNAcentral lists this ribosomal RNA (423 nucleotides) under uncultured bacterium. RNAcentral describes it as "bacterial SSU rRNA". It matches the Rfam family "Bacterial small subunit ribosomal RNA", at positions 356 to 776 of the family's 1533-position model. The record is from RNAcentral.
GAGGAAUAUUGGACAAUGGAGGCAACUCUGAUCCAGCCAUGCCGCGUGCAGGAAGACGGCCCUAUGGGUUGUAAACUGCUUUUAUACAGGAAGAAACGUUAGUACGUGUACUAGCCUGACGGUACUGUAAGAAUAAGGAUCGGCUAACUCCGUGCCAGCAGCCGCGGUAAUACGGAGGAUCCAAGCGUUAUCCGGAAUCAUUGGGUUUAAAGGGUCCGCAGGCGGUCUAAUAAGUCAGAGGUGAAAUCCUAUCGCUCAACGAUAGAACUGCCUUUGAUACUGUUAGACUUGAGUUAUUGUGAAGUAGUUAGAAUGUGUAGUGUAGCGGUGAAAUGCAUAGAUAUUACACAGAAUACCGAUUGCGAAGGCAGAUUACUAACAAUAUACUGACGCUCAUGGACGAAAGCGUGGGUAGCGAACAGG